CCUACGGGUGGCAGCAGUGAGGAAUAUUGGUCAAUGGGCGCGAGCCUGAACCAGCCAAGUAGCGUGAAGGAUGACUGCCCUACGGGUUGUAAACUUCUUUUAUAAAGGAAUAAAGUGAGGCACGUGUGCCUUUUUGUAUGUACUUUAUGAAUAAGGAUCGGCUAACUCCGUGCCAUCAGCCGCGGUAAUACGGAGGAUACGAGCGUUAUCCGGAUGUAUUGGGUGUAAAGGGAGCGUAGAUGGUUUGUUAAGUCAGUUGUGAAAGUUUGCGGCUCAACCGUAAAAUUGCAAUUGAUACUGGCAGCCUUGAGUACAGGUGAGGUAGGCGGAAUUCGUGGUGUAGCGGUGAAAUGCUUAGAUAUCACGAAGAACUCCGAUUGCGAAGGUAGCCUACUAAACUGCCACUGACAUUGAUGCUCGAAAGUGUGGGUAUCAAACAGGAUUAGAUACCCUAGUAGUC
Molecule: ribosomal RNA, 460 nt
Filed under: uncultured bacterium
Lineage: Bacteria
Description: partial 16S ribosomal RNA
Rfam family: Bacterial small subunit ribosomal RNA
Source: RNAcentral